ACUGGUAUGACGGUUAUACAAAAGGUUUAUUUUUUUUAAGGUAAAUGUAAUUUAUAUUGUAAGUAAAAAUACUUAAGCGGGACUAAGGGGCGAUAAGACCCUAAAAGGUUACUUAAAUUAUUUUGUGUUAGGGAAUAAUGGUUAGCUGGGGCAGUGAUUUGUAGUAAUACAAUAUUUGAGAGUAUUUAAAUAAAAGGGAGUGGUCCUUAUUAUUAGGAGAAGUAGGGUAAGCUACUUUAGGGUUAACAGGGUAAUAUUUUUGGGGAGGUCCUAUUUAUAAAAAUGAUUGCUACCUCGAUGUUGAAUUAAAGAAAUCUAAUAAGCAGAAAGAUUGGGGUUAGGUUUGUUCAACCUAUAGUUUUUUACAUGAUUU
Molecule: ribosomal RNA, 373 nt
Filed under: Harpiniinae sp. BOLD:ADF5813
Lineage: Eukaryota; Metazoa; Arthropoda; Malacostraca; Amphipoda; Phoxocephalidae
Description: partial 16S ribosomal RNA
Source: RNAcentral